GUAAUGUAAGUCGCCAUGCAAGACCGUAUUUGUUGCCUGGGUGUUUACUUGGAUUACAGGACAUCUCUUGCUUUCAGCAAAAUGAUUCUGCAAAGCAGUAAAUCUUGGGGUUAGGCUGCCACAGACAUAAUUUCUCCUGAACAUUUGCAAUUUUGCAAGCUUGAGUUCUACAGUUUCAUCUUUGGUUAAACACCAUGAACUAUUCUUUCUCCAAAGCUUAACUCCCUUGGCCGUUAAUGAUUUCGCCUGGACAAUUGCAUGGUUUGGUUCAAUCAUUUGACUCCGCACCUUGAUUUGCUACGGAAGCUGAAGUGGAAAUGCGAUUCUCAGGAGCCAGAAUGGAUAAUGGCAGUUGUUGUCUUGUGCCACAUGCAGACAGUAAACUUUUGGAUCUGAAUUGAUAAGAUUUUGCAGAAGAAACUUGUUUUCUCAUAAUGAUCAAAGGGCUCUGCAGUUUUCUUUUUUCCUACAACCUAUACCAAUCUACUUCACAUACAUUUAGGAGCUGCAAACAGUGACCUGCUGACUAACUCCUACAGAUGGUGCCACACAGCUUGCAUAGUGGCAUGGCACUGCCAUGGUGCUCAGGAAUGCCUUUUCUACAUCUGCAGAGGCACCUCUUUUGAGCAGGCACAUGGCGUACUCCAUGACCGUGGCAUCACAAGGGAGAGUGAUCCGCCCAUCGCUCGUGAAGCCAAACUCUUCCUGGGACAUCCACAGGAGCUCCUCGAAGAUCGUCUUGCCAAGGUAUGCCAAUGGCACCUCAAACCGUGCCCCGUCGGCCGUAUACACCACACAGUGGCCCUUGCCUGCCACAGAAGCGCAGCACUCGUCGUCUUCCUUUGCCAUCCCCCAAGUGAGGUGCUUCCUUCCGAGUGCUGCCAUUCUCUGCCACUUCUUGGUCAGCUGAGCAAUCCUCUUGGCACUGAUCAUGGUUAGUUCUUUCUUUCUUCUCUCUGGCUAGAGACUGGAGAGCUCUGAUUUGAGUUUGCAAUGCUUUGUCUGUGAAGCUGCAAGUGGUGGUGUUUAGAGGACACUUGAGCAUGAACAUAUAGCUGAAGGAAAUAGUAGGGAGUCCAGUCAAGUGAGGUGAUUGGCAAGGGACAAGGCCAUGAGCAUGGUACGUGCAUACGUUUUGGGUCAUAUUUUGAUGGGACCAAGUGUUUGGUGUUUGCCGGAGCCAGUCGUAGUGCGCCUUCGGUGCUUGGAUUGGGCACCACCUAUGCAGCCAUACUGAGCGGUUUAGCCAGGAAGCGGCACGAGGACCCCAUGUUAAUUGGGACGAACGUGAAUUGAGAGGGCCAGACUAAUUCAGCUAGCUGUUGUGCAAUCAGAUAUUGGCAGAGCUGACAUUGCAGUGCUACACCGUUGAGGGAUACUGCAAUCAAUUGGAGCAGCACAUGUUUGGGGAGUCAUUCCUAGUCUUCUUUGCUCCUUAUGUGCUCCAUCUCUACAUGUGCCUUUUCUGUAGAAGGGUCAUACAUGCAAAUUUCCGAACAAGGGUGAUUGCAUUUCAAUACGAGUUCUCUUUGUUGGGUGAUUGUUUCAGAGGUUCAGGUCCUCCACGUUGAACUAAAUGAUGUAUACAUCAUAUACUGCUUACUGUAUAGUCAGUAUAGCUGCCUCAUUUUCAGUAUUGUGAUUCGUACAUCAAGAAUGAAACCAGGCACUCCCCACAGGAAAAUACAGACAAGGAAAAUGGAUUGAAGAUUCAAUCAGAAGACAUGCUGCAAAAGUGCAAAUAAAAUUGAAAGUUGCACUCUGGCUACAGAAGCAAGUUGCCUGAUUGAAGACCAAUAAAUAAUAAUGAGUGUAUGACCAGUGCCGCAAGGAUAUGAGCAUGCAUAGCACAUCCGGACACGGUGAUAUGGAGGGCUGGGCCAUGAACAUGCCUCAGAGCAGAACUAUGUGUUUUGGUUGUCUAUCAUGGAAUGCUGAUUAUCAGCUGGUUGCCUAGUUGCAAUCUUGUAGGUCCAUGAAAGAAGAAGCAACGAAAUGGACUUCACAUGAGAUGCCAGUAGUUCAAUGGACCACCAGCUGAAGAAGUGAUAUGAAGUUGUUGAGCAAGUUGUGUGGAGCGCUGAACAUGCUUAAUCUGGUCGUUCAGAUACAAUGUGUUAUGGGCAUGGCCACCUGUUAGAUGAAGUAUCUCAAUCUGAUAUCUCAUUGCAUAUCGCAUAAUCUCAGGCAGAACUGAUCCUGACACAUUGGACCCAAUUUACAUGUGGCCCCAUGAGGCAUGCCUCUUAGACAGAGCCGGUCAGUAUGGCAGCAGAUUGUGAUAACGCUACUAAUAGUGGCUCCAACAAGUGUCAAACAGAUGGCCCGGAGAAAUCCAAACAAAACCACAUUGCUUUGUCUUGCAACACUGCAUGUUCUGUGCUCAUGGCCUUGUCUCUUGCCAGACUGAUUAGAUAGCCGCACUGGAACUGCAUGCAUCUCUUUCUCCUCACCUUUAUAAAUCUACCAGAUUCGCACCAACACUUGAUCAGUCGAUCAACAAGUCAAGCAUCACACCUAGUUGAAUACUACCUGAUACAAACAAAGAUUUUCUGAACUUUCAGCCAGAAAAGGAGGAUAUCGAAGCAGCCAU
RNA transcript from Phragmites australis (common reed), 2593 nucleotides. It is a transcript of the gene named auxin-responsive protein SAUR36-like, with no coding region annotated. The transcript has 3 exons. NCBI's taxonomy places the organism in Eukaryota, Viridiplantae, Streptophyta, Magnoliopsida, Poales, Poaceae. The record is from RefSeq and is a predicted model, not a curated record.